RNAcentral lists this unclassified non-coding RNA (266 nucleotides) under Hevea brasiliensis (rubber tree). Lineage: Eukaryota; Viridiplantae; Streptophyta; Magnoliopsida; Malpighiales; Euphorbiaceae. The record is from RNAcentral.
GCCACUAGAUCCAGCCGAGCCCUUAGGAUUCAACAGCUCUCCCUAUUAGGAAAUGGCUUCCCUCUCGGUAUCAUUCCCUCUUACUCUCCCACUUCUAACAAGGACCUUGGUUCUUUCUCUCUCCAGUCUGUCUUGCUCAAACUUGCCACCUCUAACUGCUGGCUGGGAUUAAUCGGGCAGUUCCGACCAAGGAAAUUGAUUUCGUCUAUUAAAGCGGAACUUUCUAAUGCUGAGGAACUUGAAUUCUCUGUAUUUAAGGAUGCGAC